This 442-nucleotide ribosomal RNA is filed under the name uncultured bacterium. RNAcentral's name for it is "bacterial SSU rRNA". It matches the Rfam family "Bacterial small subunit ribosomal RNA", at positions 338 to 795 of the family's 1533-position model. The record is from RNAcentral.
CCUACGGGUUGCACCAGUGGGGAAUUUUCCGCAAUGGGCGAAAGCCCGACGGAGCAAUGCCGCGUGGAGGUAGAAGGCCCACGGGUCGCGAACUUCUUUUCCCGGAGAAGAAGCAAUGACGGUAUCUGGGGAAUAACCAUCGGCUAACUCUGUGCCAGCAGCCGCGGUAAUACAGAGGAUGCAAGCGUUAUCCGGAAUGAUUGGGCGUAAAGCGUCUGUAGGUGGCUUUUUAAGUCCGCCGUCAAAUCCCAGGGCUCAACCCUGGACAGGCGGUGGAAACUACCAAGCUGGAGUACGGUAGGGGCAGAGGGAAUUUCCGGUGGAGCGGUGAAAUGCGUAGAGAUCGGAAAGAACACCAACGGCGGAAGCACUCUGCUGGGCCGACACUGACACUGAGAGACGAAAGCUUGGGGAGCGAAUGGGAUUAGAUACCCCAGUAGUC